CUUCAACUCUAAACCCUAAAACAUCAACUAUAAACCCUAAACCCUAAACUACAACCCUAAACCCUAAAACAUCAACUCUAAACCCUAAACGUAAAACGUAAACCCUAAACCCUAAACCCUAGAGUUGAUGUUUUAGGGUUUAGAUUUGAAGGUUUAGGGUUUUUGGGUUUAGGGUUUACAUUUAGGGUUUAGAGUUGAUGUUUUAAGGUUUAGAUUUGAAGGUUUAUGGUUUUAGGGUUUAGGGUUCGAAUUUUAGAAAAAUAUAGUGUUUAGGGUUUAGAGUUUACGUUUAGAAUUUAGAGUUUAUGUUUUUGGGUUUAGAUUUGAAGGUUUAGGGUUUAUGGUUUAGAGUUGAUGUUUCGGGGUUUAGGGUUUAGAAUUGAUGUUUCAUGUUUUAGGGUUUAGAGUUGAUGUUUUAAGUUUCGAUUUAGGGUUUAGGGUUUACUUUGAUGUUUUAGGGUUUAGAUUUGAAAGUUUCAUGAUAAUAAAUAAAUAUUUAAAUAAAUAAAAAUCUAAAAAAUAAAAAUAACAUUUUUUAAUUUUUUUUUUAAUUAUACAAACUCCACGUUUAAACCCUAAACCAUAAAACUCAACUCUAAACCCUAAACCAUCAAUUCUAAACUUUUUUUUAUAAAUACGAACCCUAAACCCUGAAACACCAACUCUAAAUCCUAAACCCCGAAACAUCAACUCUAAACUCUAAACCCUAAACCUUCAACUCUAAACCCUAAACAUCAAUUCUAAACUCUAAAAAGUAAACUCUAAACCCUAAAAAAUUAACCCUAAACCCUAAAACAACAACUCUAAGCCCUAAACCCUAAACCUUAAACUCUAAACCCUAAACAUAAACUUUAAAACCCUGAAACAUCAACUCUAAACCCUAAACCCCAAAACAUCAACUCUAAACCCUAAAUCCUAAGCCUUCAACUCUAAACCCUAAAACAUCAACUAUAAACCCUAAACCCUAAACUACAACCCUAAACCCUAAAACAUCAACUCUAAACCCUAAACGUAAAACGUAAACCCUAAACCCUAAACCCUAGAGUUGAUGUUUUAGGGUUUAGAUUUGAAGGUUUAGGGUUUUUGGGUUUAGGGUUUACAUUUAGGGUUUAGAGUUGAUGUUUUAAGGUUUAGAUUUGAAGGUUUAUGGUUUUAGGGUUUAGGGUUCGAAUUUUAGAAAAAUAUAGUGUUUAGGGUUUAGAGUUUACGUUUAGAAUUUAGAGUUUAUGUUUUUGGGUUUAGAUUUGAAGGUUUAGGGUUUAUGGUUUAGAGUUGAUGUUUCGGGGUUUAGGGUUUAGAAUUGAUGUUUCAUGUUUUAGGGUUUAGAGUUGAUGAUUUAGGGUUUAAAGUUGAUGUUUUAAGUUUAGAUUUAGGGUUUAGGGUUUACGUUUAGGAUUUAGAGUUGAUGUUUUAGGGUUUAGAUUUGAAGGUUUAGGGUUU
RNAcentral lists this long non-coding RNA (1440 nucleotides) under Brassica napus (rape). RNAcentral describes it as "long non-coding RNA (BNAP_LNC011502)". The record is from RNAcentral. Lineage: Eukaryota; Viridiplantae; Streptophyta; Magnoliopsida; Brassicales; Brassicaceae.